Molecule: small nuclear RNA, 107 nt
Organism: Camelus dromedarius (Arabian camel)
Lineage: Eukaryota; Metazoa; Chordata; Mammalia; Artiodactyla; Camelidae
Source: Ensembl
GCGCUGGCUUUGGCAGCACAUGUACUAAAAAUGGAAUGAUCCAGAGAAGAUUAGCAUGGCCCCUAUGCAAGGUUAACAUGCAGAGUCGUGAAACGUUCCAUAUUUUU